This 740-nucleotide long non-coding RNA is filed under the name Homo sapiens (human). RNAcentral describes it as "LBX1 antisense RNA 1". The record is from RNAcentral. Lineage: Eukaryota; Metazoa; Chordata; Mammalia; Primates; Hominidae.
AGAUCCCCUUAUCCAGGCCACCUUUGGAAACCAGCCCACCUGCUACACCAACCUUUUCCCAACACCGUGGUCCCACCCCUACCUUCGCUGCUGAAAAACCGCAUUGUGUGGGGGUCUGGAAUCUUCUGGACUCCUGGGACCCCAAUCCGCUUGCCUCUUGUACCCCUCUUGCAGAGCAAUGAGCCGAUGGGGUGCCAGGCAUUAGAAACCUUCCCUCCAAUCCUCACCAUGUCUCCAUUUUGCCAAAGAAGAAACUGAGGUUAAGGUCGCGAUGCUCUGGCCAGCAUCACAGGUAAACGAUUUUGGCAGUGCCCGGAGAAAGAUAGAAGUAAGACCUAAAGAGGAACUUUCCGCAUGUUAUGGGAGAGCCCCUGGGGCGAGGAGGCGAGGGCAGCCUUCCCCAGGCCAAGGGAGCAGCCAUCGCUCUUGGAUCUGUUUUUCCUCAAGCGUCUGUCCUGUGGGGCCUAGUCCCCAAGCGGCAGUCCUGGACCUAACGGGAGAAGGGGCUGGGGGAAGAGGGCGCACCCCCAGCCCGGGACCCACAGCAGCCCUAGCCAGUCCCCCACUCUCUCCCUCUGUAGGGGCCUCUCUCUGAGAUCGGGUCCUCCUCCUGCAGGGCAGCAGAGUGGAAGCCAGGGCCUGGGACCCUCUGGCUGGGCAAGGAGGGACUGGAGUCCGGCUCCCGGUGACCCCGUCCCCAGUGCCAGCGGUGGGGUCGCCUGUGGCGGCCCGGACAGGCC